This 68-nucleotide transfer RNA is filed under the name Podarcis lilfordi (Lilford's wall lizard). RNAcentral describes it as "tRNA.Arg". The stretch from base 4 to 60 matches the Rfam family "tRNA", at positions 9 to 63 of the family's 71-position model. Rfam says of the family: Transfer RNA (tRNA) molecules are approximately 80 nucleotides in length. Their secondary structure includes four short double-helical elements and three loops (D, anti-codon, and T loops). The record is from RNAcentral. Lineage: Eukaryota; Metazoa; Chordata; Lepidosauria; Squamata; Lacertidae.
GACAGCUCAGUCGGCAGAGCAUGAGACUCCUAAUCUCAGAGUUGUGGGUUUGAGCCCCACGUUGGGCA